Gambusia affinis (western mosquitofish) is the source of this 314-nucleotide long non-coding RNA. RefSeq lists it as uncharacterized. NCBI's taxonomy places the organism in Eukaryota, Metazoa, Chordata, Actinopteri, Cyprinodontiformes, Poeciliidae. The transcript is spliced from 3 exons. The record is from RefSeq and is a predicted model, not a curated record.
AUCCUACUCCAUGGCUGUUGCUGCUGUUACCAGGGCUAGCUGUUUCUGUCGGCGUUUCCCUAAAUCGCUGAACCAUAUCACAACAUCAACUCAAAUUAAAGCUGCCAAAGGAUUACUUUGAGCAUGUUGUGACCACUACUCGACGGUCAGGUUUUUUCCCCCCCACGGUUUCAAGUCAGGAUGGCGAGCUACCACCGGAUCACCGCAGCUUUGCGUUGGACGAUUGUUGGUGAAUCAUUAAUCACCUUAAAAGAAAAAAAAAGAGAAAGAAACGGACUUGAAUGAGAGAAAGAAAACCUCUUGUGUCUCAUCAG